RNAcentral lists this ribosomal RNA (250 nucleotides) under uncultured Chroococcidiopsis sp. RNAcentral describes it as "partial 16S ribosomal RNA". It matches the Rfam family "Bacterial small subunit ribosomal RNA", at positions 796 to 1044 of the family's 1533-position model. Lineage: Bacteria; Bacillati; Cyanobacteriota; Cyanophyceae; Chroococcidiopsidales; Chroococcidiopsidaceae. The record is from RNAcentral.
CUAGCCGUAAACGAUGGAUACUAGGCGUUGUGAGUAUCGACCCUCACAGUGUCGUAGCUAACGCGUUAAGUAUCCAGCCUGGGGAGUACGCGCGCAAGCGUGAAACUCAAAGGAAUUGACGGGGGCCCGCACAAGCGGUGGAGUAUGUGGUCUAAUUCGAUGCAACGCGAAGAACCUUACCAGGACUUGACAUGUCGCGAAUCUCAGGGAAACUUGAGAGUGCCUUCGGGAGCGCGAACACAGGUGGUGC